This 413-nucleotide long non-coding RNA is filed under the name Anas platyrhynchos platyrhynchos (common mallard). Its description in RNAcentral is "lncRNA (ENSAPLG00000024181.1)". The record is from RNAcentral. Lineage: Eukaryota; Metazoa; Chordata; Aves; Anseriformes; Anatidae.
UGUGUUGCUUGGCUCAGAACACCCAGGAAGGAGAGGAACUAUUCAGAAUUGCCUGCAGGAGUUUACAACUGGGAGCAAUGGGGUAAAGUCAGCUGUGAUAGGUUCAUCAUGCAUACAUGCACUACUCUGAAAACUGAUCAAGUAUGGCCAGGAACUUGGACCAACGUUAUCUCCCACAGCUCAACAGCUAAAUAAUCAUUCCAGUCCAGUCAAGAUGCAGAAGUGUUUUGGACUGUUUCAAAGACUAGUUGGUACAUGAGAUAUAUCCUGAAAAUGUAAAGCAUUAUAUAAAUACCAUGGACAGAUGGAUUUUUCCUAGCUCCCAAACUUUGGAGUAUUACUUUAUUACCGUCCCUUGGCUGAGUGUAGCACCCAGCUGAAACAAUCGAAGGAACUUUAACCAAUAAAAGUAC